CCCUUAGAUGUCCGGGGCUGCACGCGCGCUACACUGAAGGAAUCAGCGUGCUAAAACCAUUGUCGAAAGGCAUUGGUAAACCCAUUAAAAUCCUACGUGAUUGCGAUCGGGAAUUGCAAUUAUUUCCCUUGAACGAGGAAUUCCCAGUAAGUGUGGGUCAUAAGCUCGCGUUGAUUACGUCCCUGCCCUUUGUACACACCGCCCGUCGCUGCCCGGGACUGAGCCGUUUCGAGAAAAGCGGGGACUGCUGCUGUCGGGGCUUUCGGGCCUUGGCUUCGGUGGAAACCGCUUUAAUCGCAGUGGCUUGAACCGGGCAAAAGUCGUAACA
This 328-nucleotide ribosomal RNA is filed under the name uncultured eukaryote. Its description in RNAcentral is "partial 18S ribosomal RNA". It matches the Rfam family "Eukaryotic small subunit ribosomal RNA", at positions 1470 to 1796 of the family's 1831-position model. The record is from RNAcentral.